CAAGGAUAUUGUUGCUCAACAACUAUUGACACUCUUUAUUGUGCCCAAACAUCAAAAGAGAGCUAGGAUUAUCUGAAAAGCUUUGACAUCGCCGAUUCGCAGUUGUUGAAAUGCAAACAUAAUUUUACAGGAACGAGAGAAAGUUCCACUACUGUUUUGACCAGUGAAUACUUGCUUUAAUCAGGAAAAGGAAAGUAGUAUGCAGCACCAACAGCCUCAUACUUCAACUACAUUGUCUGUCUGAUAGCUUCCGGCUACUACAACUAUAAUGUACAAGAGACGCUACACUCUUACGGUCAACAUACGUACUAAACAUGCUCCUCCGCAUUCAUGGAACCAGAACCAAGGAACCCUUCAAGCGGUGAAAGAUGAAGAGAAUUACGGCUAAAUUUUCAAAGAAAAUUACAGGAAAUAUCACCACGAUUUCAAGUAAAAUGCGGUGAGAUGUAAAAUUCGAUGCCUAGUUGAGUAAAAAAAAA
This is a long non-coding RNA of Limulus polyphemus (Atlantic horseshoe crab), 479 nucleotides long. RefSeq lists it as uncharacterized. The record is from RefSeq and is a predicted model, not a curated record. The transcript has 3 exons. Lineage: Eukaryota; Metazoa; Arthropoda; Merostomata; Xiphosura; Limulidae.